ACUCAAAGGAAUAGACGGGGGCCCGCACAAGCGGUGGAGUAUGUGGUUUAAUUCGAAGCAACGCGCAGAACCUUACCUACCCUUAACAUCCUGUGCUAGUGGCAGAGAUGUCAUGUUCUCUUCGGAGACGCAGUGAUAGGUGCUGCAUGGCUGUCGUCAGCUCGUGUCGUAAGAUGUCUGGUUAAGUCCAAUAACGAGCGCAACCCCUGUCUUUAGUUACCAUCAUUAAGUUGGGCACUCUAAAGAGACUGCCGGUGUUAAACCGGAGGAAGGCGGGGACGACGUCAAGUCCUCAUGGCCCUUACGGGUAGGGCUACACACGUACUACAAUGGCAAGAACAAACCGCCGCAAGAUCGCAAGAUGGAGCUAAUCGGAAAAACAUUGCCUCAGUUCGGAUUGAAGUCUGCAACUCGACUUCAUGAAGUUGGAAUCGCUAGUAAUCGCUGAUCAGCAAGCAGCGGUGAAUACGUUCCCGGGCCUUGUACACACCGCCCGU
Molecule: ribosomal RNA, 497 nt
Filed under: uncultured bacterium
Lineage: Bacteria
Description: partial 16S ribosomal RNA
Rfam family: Bacterial small subunit ribosomal RNA
Source: RNAcentral